Molecule: ribosomal RNA, 253 nt
Filed under: uncultured bacterium
Lineage: Bacteria
Description: partial 16S ribosomal RNA
Rfam family: Bacterial small subunit ribosomal RNA
Source: RNAcentral
UACGAAGGGGGCUAGCGUUGCUCGGAAUCACUGGGCGUAAAGGGUGCGUAGGUGGGUCUUUAAGUCAGGGGUGAAAUCCUGGAGCUCAACUCCAGAACUGCCUUUGAUACUGGCGAGCUUGAGUGCAGGAGAGGAACGCGGAAUUCCAGGUGUAGCGGUGAAAUGCGUAGAUAUCUGGAGGAACACCGGUGGCGAAGGCGGCGUUCUGGACUGCAACUGACACUGAGAGACGAAAGCCAGGGGAGCAAACGGG